This is a long non-coding RNA of Perca fluviatilis (European perch), 1244 nucleotides long. RefSeq lists it as uncharacterized. Lineage: Eukaryota; Metazoa; Chordata; Actinopteri; Perciformes; Percidae. The transcript has 6 exons. The record is from RefSeq and is a predicted model, not a curated record.
CGUAUGUGCAGGUUGAACACCCCAUACCUGUUCUUCUCUUUUGGCAGCAACUUCCGACUCAAAUAAAGAACUGGGUGUUCCUCACCUGCAUGAACCUGGGACAGGACAGCCCACAGACCCACCUCUGAGGCGUCUACCUGGACCACAAAAAAGGCUUUCUAGAAGUUGUACAGCAAAAAGUCUGAUUCCAGAGCCGGGACAGUCGGAUCCCCUUGGUUUCCUGGAGCAUGAGGCAGCAGAGAUGCAGUGGGACGUCACUGACACGCAGCAACAGUGUUGGCGGCCCGCUGCACAGCCUGGACUACUCCCAGAGACCUGGGGUCUCAUUUAUAAAACUUGGAGAAGGGGACGUGGGCUCCGAUGGACCACCAGGAGAUUCACACCCUCCUCAACAUCCAGACCUAGGCCGUCUACGGGCCAAUCGACCUGUUGAUCCCCAGAGAUCCAGCGGCGCCCUGAGGGUGUCAACCAGCAGAGGAGUAUCUAUGGAGAGAUAUUGUUCCUCUCUCUGGUGGCCUUGGGGAAGGAGAACAUCGACGUAGAGGCCUUUGACGGGGAGUACCGGCUGGCUUACGACCAACUGAGCGCCGAGCAGCUCAAGUCUUUGCACCGCAUGGAUCGUACGCCCAGCCCCAGUGUCCAGUGGUGCCUUAAAUGCUUCGGGACCCCCGUCAUCUGACCACAAACACAGAAGUGACAGUAAAAAAGAAGUUAAAUAUUUAGGGAUGGUAGUUACAAAGAGUAUGAAUAUUAGGGAAACAUCUAAUAUAUAAAAGUAAACAGAAUAGUAAAACUAUCCUGAAAAGUUGGCUUCAGAGAGACUUUUUGAGACAUUUUGAAGAUGGAGAGUUUAUCUAGACUUGUAUAUCCAGCCUAUUCAUUCGAUAUUUCUGGUCAAUCAAGACAAUUUCAAUUUUAUAUGGAAAAAUAAACAUAUGGAGAAAUGAUAUAGUGAAAUCUGAUGAAGAAAGGAGGUUUGAUCCAAUGAAUGGUAUCAUCAAAUUAAAAUGGUUGCAUAGGUUCUUUAGGAAAGGUGAACGUUUUUGGUUAGAUUUUCCAUCCAAGAUCUUCAGGAAUUUUGGUGGCAUAGAUUUUUUUUAUUAAGAUGUUACUUUGAUAUUUCUAAACUACCUGUCAGCAUGUCCUCCAUUAUUGGAAACUGAUAUACAAGCAUAAUUUACCCCAUACAUGGUCUCAAUAUUUGAAGCAUAAUAAUAAUAAUAAAGAGAAAGUCCUUUUACAAA